AUGGAUCAAUGUAGAGGUUCAACGUAAUUUCACAGUUGACAGUGCCGUUAGAGUAAAAAUGUUUUACAGCCCUCCUCGUCAGCCACCACAAUGGAACUGGAGUUCAUCCCAUCCAUUCCUCUCCAAACCCCUCCUCAGACCCAAAAUCACUUCUCUCUCUCUCUCUCUCUCUCCUGUCACCACUGGACCUCAUAACCAAAUCACUCCCUUUCGCUGUCUAACCAAAUUCCAAUCUUUGAAAGGCUAUGGACAUUGGAAUUGGAUGAAGACAUUGGAGCAUAGCGAAAAGGAAACACAAAAUCGAAGAUCAGAAUUGAAAAAAGAAGGCAAGAAGCCGCAGAAACAGGCCAUCGCCUGAGCAGAAGCGCGAAGGGCGAAGUUUAUCUCCACCGGCUCUUACGAGAUCGAGGAGAGAGGAAACCCACAGCGAGAGGAAGGGGAAUAAAUGGUUGCUGCUUUUAACGGAGCCCCAUGUUUCAUUAUAGCCUUUGCAGAAGCGAUAUCAAGAUUCAAGAUUCAAGGUCGCUGUUUCAUUCUAGCCGUUGCAGAAACCGUACCAAUAAAAGACAUCGGGUUAUUGAGUUUGGGCUCUAAUUGAAACUUAAAAGACAUCGGGUUGAACUGGUAUAUGGUAUAAGGCAGGGACAGCAGCUGCAGUCAAAGUUCUAGAGUUUCAGUUUGAGAGUGAGCCUCUGUCUAUUUAAACUCAAAUAUGUAAUAGUGCCCUGCUGAGGUACUUUCUUUUUCCUCAAUAUUUACUAUUUCAAAACUGGGUUUUUUCUUAUAGAUGAAUGAAGAUGCUUUUUAUGUUUUUAUCUCUCUGAUCGAUAGUAUUUGAUGUAUUUGCUUUCUGGGGGUUUCCUUCUGCCUUUACUUUGGUACCCAGUUACGAUUUUCAUGCCAACUUAACUUUUGUUUUUGGUUUCAACUAAAUUUCUGCUUUAUGUAUUUGUUUUUGUUUUCGGUUUCACUUUGGUUCCACAAAUGGUGGUCUUUCCCAUAAUUGCAGGUUACUUUAGAUUAAAGCAUUGUUUCCUUUAUCAUAAUGUUAUGAUAGUUUUGUCUUGUUUGUAUUUAUGUGUUCUGUAACUUCAGUUUAACUAAUGUUAUGGCUUAUGGGAGCUGGCACUCCUGGCAGGAGUAGAAUCAGCAUAUAGAAAGAACAAGUAUUCUGGUAUCUAGUCCUCCAGUGGUUGACUUCUUUUGUUUUACACAGGUCAUAUUUUGCCUUUUUUUAAUUUUCUCUACCUUUUCAAUUGGGUUAACAAAUUCUAAACUGUGACCCUUGAUUCCUAGACCCUAAAUAUUUUCUGUUACAGACUGCAUCAGGAGAUGUGAUACUUUUCAUUUAUAUGCAGUAGUUUUCAAGUGGAACUGGAACAGAUGUUUGGGGAUUGUAUGGAACGUGGCACAAAAUGAAAGGAAUGUGCUCUGAGGCUUUGUUAAAGAUAGUGAGAUUGUACUAGGUGAUGUGUCUGCACAUUGUGAAAAUCAUGACAGGAAUAUGACCUUAAAAUGCAGUCAAUGCACCUAUUGCAGCCCAUGAUCAGUUUGUUCUGGUUCUAUAAUUACAAGAGAUCCACAGACGGGGAAGUUUUUAGAAAUGAGAUGGAAUUAAUGGGUGCUUUCUUAACACCAUAUAAGGAUUUUUUCUCCUUUGACAAUGGAGUUUGAUGGCCUGAAAAGUAGGUAUCUGAUUAGCCUUUGAAGUUGGAAUUCUCCAUCUUGAAGUUGAGUUUGAUAGUAGAGCGGCUGGUAGCUUGGUAGUCUCUAAUGAGAUGUGCUGACAGAGAGUGGGAUGAUAAUAGUGUCGUUCUAAUUUUAUCAGACAUCCCCAAGACCCCAGAGGGAUCUAAAAGAGUGCUGUUGAAGAAUUGUGGUGCAACCAAGGUCUGCUUCUAACUGAGGGAAUGCAACAAAGUGGUUCAUGUGUUGGCUAGAUUCAUAGUGAAGGAAUGUAUUAAUAUCUUUUGUAUUGAAAUUGGGCCAGGCUUAUGUGAUUGAUAAAUAUCAAUGCUAAUAUUUGUAAGUUUGUAACCUUUCUUAUGAUUAAUGAAUGAUUACCUAUUCGUUUGGAAAAAAAAGUGUAAGAUUUAAGAGAA
Molecule: long non-coding RNA, 2102 nt
Organism: Rosa chinensis
Lineage: Eukaryota; Viridiplantae; Streptophyta; Magnoliopsida; Rosales; Rosaceae
Exons: 3
Source: RefSeq, a predicted model, not a curated record